CACAUUCUUUCAUUAGCUUUAUAAAUUUAUCCAAGACCUCAUCAUUUCUAUUUAAUUUAAUUAUUUUACUUUUUACUUACAACAUUUUUAUUGUAAAAGUAAACGAAGUAAAUACUGACAGACAAAAAUUUUUAAAAAUACAUGUGAAGAUUUUUUAUAGAUAAGAUGUCGGCUACUUUCAGCGUCAUAUAUUUACGGGUAAAUAUUUACGGCAAAUUUGGAGGCAUUUUGAAACGAAGGUAUGCGAUGCACGAUUCAAUCGAAACAUUAAAAGGUUUGUUUGGUGAUACAGAGGCAGACGAU
Long non-coding RNA from Microplitis mediator, 303 nucleotides. RefSeq lists it as uncharacterized. The transcript has 3 exons. The record is from RefSeq and is a predicted model, not a curated record. Lineage: Eukaryota; Metazoa; Arthropoda; Insecta; Hymenoptera; Braconidae.